RNAcentral lists this ribosomal RNA (483 nucleotides) under uncultured bacterium. Its description in RNAcentral is "partial 16S ribosomal RNA". It matches the Rfam family "Bacterial small subunit ribosomal RNA", at positions 28 to 523 of the family's 1533-position model. The record is from RNAcentral.
GACGAACGCUGGCGGCGUGCUUAACACAUGCAAGUCGAGCGAGGCCCCUCCUUCGGGAGGGUGUCCUAGCGGCGAACGGGUGAGUAACACGUGGGCAACCUGCCCCCGGCUCUGGGAUAACUCCAAGAAAUUGGGGCUAAUACCGGAUAUGACCGCUGACCGCAUGGUCGGGUGGGGGAAAGAUUUAUCGGCUGGGGAUGGGCCCGCGGCCUAUCAGCUUGUUGGUGGGGUAGUGGCCUACCAAGGCGACGACGGGUAGCCGGCCUGAGAGGGUGACCGGCCACACUGGGACUGAGACACGGCCCAGACUCCUACGGGAGGCAGCAGUGGGGAAUAUUGCGCAAUGGGCGGAAGCCUGACGCAGCGACGCCGCGUGGGGGAUGACGGCCUUCGGGUUGUAAACCUCUUUCAGCAGGGACGAAGCGAAAGUGACGGUACCUGCAGAAGAAGCACCGGCCAACUACGUGCCAGCCGCCGCGGUAA